This 473-nucleotide ribosomal RNA is filed under the name actinobacterium iEII8. Its description in RNAcentral is "bacterial SSU rRNA". It matches the Rfam family "Bacterial small subunit ribosomal RNA", at positions 8 to 495 of the family's 1533-position model. The record is from RNAcentral. Lineage: Bacteria; Bacillati; Actinomycetota; Actinomycetes.
AGAGUUUGAUCCUGGCUCAGGACGAACGCUGGCGGCGUGCUUAACACAUGCAAGUCGAACGAUGAAGCCCAGCUUGCUGGGUGGAUUAGUGGCGAACGGGUGAGUAACACGUGAGUAACCUGCCCUUGACUCUGGGAUAAGCGUUGGAAACGACGUCUAAUACCGGAUACGAGCUUCCACCGCAUGGUGAGUUGUUGGAAAGAAUUUUGGUCAAGGAUGGACUCGCGGCCUAUCAGCUUGUUGGUGAGGUAAUGGCUCACCAAGGCGACGACGGGUAGCCGGCCUGAGAGGGUGACCGGCCACACUGGGACUGAGACACGGCCCAGACUCCUACGGGAGGCAGCAGUGGGGAAUAUUGCACAAUGGGCGAAAGCCUGAUGCAGCAACGCCGCGUGAGGGACGACGGCCUUCGGGUUGUAAACCUCUUUUAGCAGGGAAGAAGCGAAAGUGACGGACCUGCAGAAAAAGCCCCG